Molecule: ribosomal RNA, 261 nt
Filed under: uncultured prokaryote
Description: partial 16S ribosomal RNA
Rfam family: Bacterial small subunit ribosomal RNA
Source: RNAcentral
UACGUAGGGCGCAAGCGUUGUCCGGAAUUAUUGGGCGUAAAGAGCUUGUAGGUGGCUUGUCGCGUCUGCCGUGAAAACCCGAGGCUCAACCUCGGGCGUGCGGUGGGUACGGGCAGGCUAGAGUGUGGUAGGGGAGACUGGAACUCCUGGUGUAGCGGUGAAAUGCGCAGAUAUCAGGAAGAACACCGAUGGCGAAGGCAGGUCUCUGGGCCAUUACUGACACUGAGAAGCGAAAGCAUGGGUAGCGAACAGGAUUAGAUA